UUUGACUUGUCCAGUGGGUGAGAUCAUUCCUUGGGGAAGACUCUUCACCAGGGAAAUAAAGGCAGGAGUGUACACAUGCUGAUAGAGGAGCAGAUUUAGGAAUCUAAAAGGAAGGUGCAGAAAAUACCAGCAGCAUAGCAGGAGUGCUUGCAGCCCACGUCUCCCCUUCCCUAGCAGAUAGGAGCUAAUGGGGACCUUUUGUCCAGGAAGCAGGUGGAUUCUUUUCUUCCUGCCAUUUCUGGGUUCUUAAGCUUCUUCACUUAAGAGAAAGAUCAUCCUGUCCUGGCAAUGAUAACUUUGCAGUCAAUUGCUCUGCUUCUACUUUAUUGCUCCAUUCAGGCUUAUAUCAUUAGGCCCAGAUCUCCCAAGAAUCCUGUU
Gavialis gangeticus (Gharial) is the source of this 378-nucleotide long non-coding RNA. RefSeq lists it as uncharacterized. NCBI's taxonomy places the organism in Eukaryota, Metazoa, Chordata, Crocodylia, Gavialidae. The transcript has 3 exons. The record is from RefSeq and is a predicted model, not a curated record.